GUUGGGGACCUGGCAGAACUCAGUUCUCUGAGCUGGUUGCCCCAAGCUUCCAGCUGUGGGAUCUUAGUGGGAGCCUGCAGGCUGUGCUCAGUACCAGCCAGGUGUCCUGAAAUGUGUGUGAGAGAAAAGCAGUUAUGGGAUGGUCUGCAUCUUCAUGAGCAUCACUGGUUUAUGUACCAGUAGGUGGUGCUCGAGAAUGCGCAGCCCCAGUACUGCUAGCAGAGGUCUGGGUUAAAUCAGAUGGUUGGGUUUAUCUAUUUAUUUAUUUAUGCUCCAGUUUAAGGUCGAGUGUUGAACCUCUGGCUGUACUAGCCCUUAUACGGUGCUGAAAGGCAGUGCUCCUGUCCAUCGUAGGAAAGAAGAGCAGAAGUGCCAAGUGGAACCCAAGUGUUUAGCAGCUGUGCUUUGGGAAAAGCUGCUUUGUACAGGAUCUCUAAGAGCCACACAAAUACUACAGAAAUAUCUGCGCUGCCCUACAGAAGAGGAGAUGAAGGAAACCAGGUGCUCAGUAAA
RNAcentral lists this long non-coding RNA (513 nucleotides) under Meleagris gallopavo (turkey). RNAcentral's name for it is "lncRNA (ENSMGAG00000018251.1)". Lineage: Eukaryota; Metazoa; Chordata; Aves; Galliformes; Phasianidae. The record is from RNAcentral.